This 886-nucleotide long non-coding RNA is filed under the name Mus musculus (house mouse). RNAcentral's name for it is "long non-coding RNA chr2:11090878-11091764". Lineage: Eukaryota; Metazoa; Chordata; Mammalia; Rodentia; Muridae. The record is from RNAcentral.
AUCGGAGGGCUGAGCUCUGAAACAACCGACAAGAGUCUGAAGAGGCAUUUUGAGCAGUGGAAGACACUCACCAACAUUGUGGUAAUGAGAGAUCCAAACACCAAGAGAUCCAGGGCCUUUGGUUUUGUCACUUAUACCACUGUAGAAGUAGAGAAUGCUGCUGUGAAUUCAAGACCACACAAAGUGCUUGGAAGAAUUGUCAAGGUAGAUUCUCAGAGACCAGGUGCCCACUUAAGUAUGAAAAAGAUUUUUGUUGGUGCUAUUAAAGAAGACACUGAAGAACGUCACCUUUGAGACUAUUUUGAGCAGUAGGAGAAAAUUGAAGUGAUAGAAAUUAUGACUGACGGUGGCAGUGGGAAAAAAGGGGGCAUUACUUUUGUCACCUUUGAUGACCAUGUCUCUGUGGAUAAGAUUGUUAUUCAGAAAUACCAUACUGUGAAUGGCCACAGCUAUGAAGUAAAAGAAGCUCUGUCGAGGCAAAAAAGAUGCCAGUGCUUCUUCUAGCCAGAGAGGCUGAAGGGGUUCCAGAAACUUUGGUGAUGAUCAUGGAGGUAGUUUUGGCAGCAAUGACAAUUUUGGUUGAGGAGGAAACUUCAGUGGCCACGGUGGCUUUGGUGGCAGCCCUGGUGGUGGAUAUGGUGGCAAGGGGAUGCCUAUAAGGGAUUUGGUAAUGAUGGAAGCAAUUUUGGAGGUGGUGAGAGCUACAACGAUUUUAGCAAUUAUAACAUUCAGUCUUCAAAUUUGGACAGAUGUAGGAAGGAAACUUUGGAGGCAGAAGCUCCGGCCCUUAUGGUGGCAGAGGGCCAGUACUUUGCUAAACCAUGAAGCCAACGUGGCUAUGGAGGUCCCAGCAGUAGCAGCAGCUAUGACAGUUGCAGGAAGUUCU